AACGAACGCUGUCGGCAUCCCUAACACCUGCAAGUCUAAUGAGCCCUUUGGGUCUCGUGGCUUUCGUGUCCGUCUCGCGUGGGAACCUCCCCUUAAGUUCUGCUUAACUCCUCGAAAGGGGUUCUAAUACCCGAUAAUGUCUUUGGUCCAAAGAUUUAUCGCCUUUGGAUGGGCUCGCGUCGGAUUAGCUAGUUGGUAGGGUAAAAGCCUACCAAGGCGACGACCCAUAGCUGGUCUGAGAGGAUGAUCAGCCACACUGGGACUGAGACACGGCCCAGACUCCUACGGGAGGCAGCAGUGGGGAAUAUUGGACAAUGGGCGAAAGCCUGAGCCAGCAAUGCCGCGUGAGUGAUGAAGGCCUUAGGGUUGUAAAGCUCUUUUACCCGGGAUGAUAAUGACAGUACCGGGAGAAUAAGCUCCGGCUAACUCCGUG
RNAcentral lists this ribosomal RNA (433 nucleotides) under uncultured bacterium. Its description in RNAcentral is "partial 16S ribosomal RNA". It matches the Rfam family "Bacterial small subunit ribosomal RNA", at positions 29 to 507 of the family's 1533-position model. The record is from RNAcentral.